Molecule: long non-coding RNA, 214 nt
Filed under: Lathyrus oleraceus (garden pea)
Lineage: Eukaryota; Viridiplantae; Streptophyta; Magnoliopsida; Fabales; Fabaceae
Description: Pisum sativum (pea) long non-coding RNA (PSAT_LNC035793)
Source: RNAcentral
GACAAUCGUUCCACCACCCUUAGAAUUCCUUAGAUGCAAAGAGAAAUACAUAUCACCCAACAAAGUAGGCAUAGGAUUCCUAAUCAAGAAAAGUAUAAUGGCGUUAACAUCAACAAAACCGUCAAUGUUAGGGAACAAAGCUAAUCCAUAAAUGAACAACACAAAGAUAGCUUCAAAAGCGUCCACACUGUAGCGGGGUAUUCAUUACCUUUAG